This is a long non-coding RNA of Sinocyclocheilus grahami, 190 nucleotides long. RefSeq lists it as uncharacterized. The transcript has 3 exons. Lineage: Eukaryota; Metazoa; Chordata; Actinopteri; Cypriniformes; Cyprinidae. The record is from RefSeq and is a predicted model, not a curated record.
AGCUUGAGGCAGAGUCAGAUCCAUAUCUGGGGUAUCGAUUCCUCCCUUUAUUUUGGGGCUUUUGAGAUUCAGGUCCGGGGAAUCAAAGUCUGCCUUAAACUUUGGAGCUGACAGAUCCAUUUCAGGGGUCUUUAAAUCAUAGUCAGGCGUCUUUAGUUUUGGUCCUGAGACACCAAACUUAGGCAUCUUU